Molecule: transfer RNA, 71 nt
Filed under: Streptococcus oralis
Lineage: Bacteria; Bacillati; Bacillota; Bacilli; Lactobacillales; Streptococcaceae
Also listed under: 1 other name
Description: tRNA-Gly
Rfam family: tRNA
About the family: Transfer RNA (tRNA) molecules are approximately 80 nucleotides in length.
Source: RNAcentral
GCGGAUGUAGUUUAGUGGUAAAACUACAGCCUUCCAAGCUGUUGUCGCGAGUUCGAUUCUCGUCACCCGCU